GGAUCGGGCGGUUCCCCCUUCGGGGGGACAGGGUGACAGGUGGUGCAUGGUUGUCGUCAGCUCGCGUCGUGAGAUGUUGGGUUAAGUCCCGCAACGAGCGCAACCCUCGACCUUAGUUGCCAGCAUUCAGUUGGGCACUCUAAGGUGACUGCCGGCUAAAAGUCGGAGGAAGGUGGGGAUGACGUCAAAUCAUCAUGCCCCUUAUGACCUGGGCUACACACGUGCUACAAUGGGCGGUACAAAGGGUCGCGAACCCGCGAGGGGGAGCCAAUCCCAAAAAGCCGCUCUCAGUUCGGAUUGCAGGCUGCAACUCGCCUGCAUGAAGCCGGAAUCGCUAGUAAUCGCGGAUCAGCAUGCCGCGGUGAAUACGUUCCCGGGCCUU
Molecule: ribosomal RNA, 382 nt
Filed under: uncultured Anoxybacillus sp.
Lineage: Bacteria; Bacillati; Bacillota; Bacilli; Caryophanales; Anoxybacillaceae
Description: bacterial SSU rRNA
Rfam family: Bacterial small subunit ribosomal RNA
Source: RNAcentral